AGGUGGGAUGUUUACGGUGGCGAACGUGACAUUCUGUCAUCGGGAGUGCCAAAUCGCCUCCCUCGCCGCGCAGCCUUCCUCUCCGGCCCGAGCCACGGGAAAUGCAUCGCAAGAAAUCGUUGAAAACUGACUUGCUCUCCCCCGCCCCCUUUAAAUACAGCAGAGGCGUCGCGAGCGUUCCUAGCCCCUCUGUUAAGGCAGGAAUUCGCUUCUGGCCAAGUGCGCUGAGCCAUUCUAAGUCAUGUAGUGUGAAUAUGAGCCUCAGAAUAAGGCGAAUGAAUGAAUGAAUGAAUGAAAGCAAACCAGUGCAGCUAGUGCAUCUCGCCUGCCUGCAUGCAUCAGAGGACUUUGAAACAACAGUCGGUGUACGCUUCACUGUGUGUGUUCAUAAUACUGUGCUGAUGAAAUGCCUUGUGGAUCAUACACCCUGAAACCUGCAAAUCGACUCAAUAUCGCAAUGGUUUGGGUGCUUUGGCUUUUAACGUUAUACGUCAAACGUUUAAACCUGCUAUAUGACAAACAUUUUACUUCUCAUUUCCAAUAAAAUCUUCUAGUUCCAUGCACUAAACGACAGUGCGCUAAGCCACCAACUGAUGUCAAGAUGACAUAAAAAUACUGUCAUUGCCCAUCAUCACCCUUGUUUUUCCUUCUACUCCUGCUUUUCUUACACUCUAGCUAGAUAACAGAUUAAUGUAUUGUCUUAAUGGUGAAGGAAAAGCAAAUCAGGUACUGAUAUUUAUAAACAACUACAGUUUGUAACUUAAGACAUAUGAAAACCUACAUUUUUUUCCCAUGGAAAAUCUUCACUUUAUAGCCCAGGUUUUACUUGAAAUAUCACAAACAGAUGGAGUCUUGUGAUGACAGCAAGUUGUUCAGGCCAGGAGAGGGCCAUGAUACUGGCAUCCAAUUCUACCCCCUGGGUUUAGAAUUAGGUUAGAAAAUUGUAGAUGCAGGUCCGUGAUAGGGACCACGCAGAGGAAUGCUUGGGAGAGCAAGAGAGAGCCAGGGGAAGGCGGGAGGGCUGGCCACCGGAAGUACAGUAAAAGGAAGGAUUGCAAUAGCCAAGACACUCCAGCUGGAAAGGGAAGGUGAAGAGGAGAAGACCCAGGCCGCUGGGGCUGAAGUAACAAGGGGGACUGUUCCCACUGGAGAAGGCGGCAGAGGUUAUCCCAGACAACAGCUUUGCAAGCCCAUGAACUUCAACUUUUGCCUUAGGUCAAAUUUACUACCCUGCUUGGAACUGCAGAUCCUUGAAGCUGGGGAUGGAGUUGGUGCAUCCCCUGGGUGAGACACAAAAGUUUGCCAGUCACCCAGCAAGGUCUCUUCAUUUAACUGAAGGCAUUGCUUGUACCCUUGCAAACUGUCUCAGACCACUCUGGAACAAGUCGGAGCAGCUCUAUAUGGCUGUCAACCUUUUUAGAUGUCUUCACAACACUCCCACUUUGUGCUGUAGAAAUUCCUUGGGGCCCCAAGCAUGUAUCGUUUGCACUGUGUGAUCUUGCUGGCCUGAUCACCUUGACUGGAACUGAGCAACGUAUCUGACUCAAGCUGAGCCAUGGACUCUUUCCUCCAGGAAUCUGACAUUGGAGCAGACAAAUGCCAUGCUGUGCUAGGCAAGGCCCAGGCUGCGUGAAUAUCUGCAGCACUGAUUCUCAACCUUGGCUGCCCAUGGAGUUGCCUGAGACACUUUUAAAAGUCCAUCUCCUACUCAGCAGACUCAUAGAAUGGCGGAUGUCCUAAAUAGCACUCUGGCCUCAGAAUCAGCCCUAAAGGCACUCGGAUCUGGCUGAAAAGCCCAUGAGAGUAUUUCAGGCAUGGAAAGCCAAGACACUCUGGCAAAAAGAUCUCUGUGAGUGAGAUCCCAGUGGAAAGAACAGGUCUUCAAAGAGGGAGGUGCCUUUCUCUGAAGGGAGGAGAGAACCUCCACUUUGACUAUGACCUUAUCUAAACAAGGUAAGAGUCGGAGAACUCAAGGGGCUUCCAUAGCCUUGGAAACUCAUGACUGGUGCAUAGGGAGAUUACUGAUGCCAUAAACAGAAGUGUCAAUUUGUAAAGUCAACAACAGGAGUCACUGUGCACUUACUCCUCAUGUAGGAUAUCUGUCCUUAAUGUGCUGUACACUGAGGCUUAAUGCUAUAACGAGUACUCAAACAGUAUAUUUCACUUUGUGUUUCUAUGGGGGUGCAAACGAUUGAAAUCUUUACUUAAUGUACACUAAACUGAUCUUCUGUAAAAAAAAAAAAAAAGAAAAAAGAAAUUAUCAAUUCCCAACUUGACUCUCACUGGGAUUAAACAUGACAAUAGGUCUGAUCUGAUUUCAUCAUCAUUCAAAAAAAAUCAUCUAUUAUUUUUCACUUUAUGUUUCUGUGUGGGAGCAAACUGUUGAAAUCCUUACUUAAGGUAUACUAAGCUGAUCUUCUGUAUAUUAAGAUAAUCGAAAAUGAAUCUUGAUGUGAAUGGAAGGGGAGAAGGAGUGGGAAAGGGGAUGGUUGUGGGUGGGAGGGACGGUAUGGGGGGGGGAAGCCAUUGUAACCCAUGAGUCGUACUUUGGAAAUUUAUAUUCAUUAAAUAAAAGAUAAAAAAAAAUAAAAAAAAAGUCCA
Long non-coding RNA from Oryctolagus cuniculus (rabbit), 2601 nucleotides. The record is from Ensembl. NCBI's taxonomy places the organism in Eukaryota, Metazoa, Chordata, Mammalia, Lagomorpha, Leporidae.